Nicotiana tabacum (common tobacco) is the source of this 557-nucleotide non-coding RNA. The record is from RefSeq and is a predicted model, not a curated record. NCBI's taxonomy places the organism in Eukaryota, Viridiplantae, Streptophyta, Magnoliopsida, Solanales, Solanaceae.
UCCUGUUGUCUUGCUGUAUUAGGUGCGCAAUGGCUCUUGUCCAUCAAAGAGUUAGACGGAUAUUUUUUUCCUUCCCAAAUUCCAAUGCUGGUGCACUAGGAAGUGUUCACAGAUUGCAAGGGGAGAGGAGCUUGAAUCACCAUUAUGCUGUUUUCAGGGUUGUUUUGCCUGAGGAGGUGCUCAGGAAUAAAGUUGUAGAUGCAAAAAUUGCUGGGUGUGGUUGAAGCAAGCACUAAUCAGCUUUUGAAGAGGUUCACAAUUCAAGUUACGCUGACAACUAAAUAUUUGCCUAGUUGCUGAUGAUCUGUUCCCCUUAUUGGGUAUUAUGCCAAGUUCGCAAUACGCAUCAGGAUGGACAAGCUAAGUCUUGGAAUUGGACAGCUGUUUUAACUAUUCUUUAUUUCAUAUUUACAGAGCUGGUGUAGCUUGAGUUUGUAAUCUUUCCGAGAAAGACUGUAACAUUAAUGUGCAUUAGUACUAUAUCACUCUGUAUCCCCCUCGCCAACUAGAGAGAUGAAAGAAAAAGGAUUAUUUAUUUUGACAAGGUCUGGAGAUCA